UUACGGUCCAGGGAAGUAUGUUGCAAAGCUGAAACUUAAAGGAAUUGACGGAAGGGCACCACCAGGAGUGGAGCCUGCGGCUUAAUUUGACUCAACACGGGAAAACUCACUGGUCCGGACANUGGAAGGAUUGACAGAUUGAAAGCUCUUUCUUGAUUCAGUGGGUGGUGGUGCAUGNCCGUUCUUAGUUGGUGGAGUGAUUUGUCUGGUUAAUUCCGAUAACGAACGAGACUCUAGCCUGCUAACUAGUUCGCCGACAGCUCGUUGUCGCGCGGCGCCAUUUCGGUGGCAAACUUCUUAGAGGGACAGGUGGCGUAUAGCCACACGAAGUAGAGCAAUAACAGGUCUGUGAUGCCCUUAGAUGUCCAGGGCCGCACGCGCGCUACACUGAAAGAAUCAACGUGGAUGCCCACCUGCUCCGAGAGGAGUGGGAAACCCGAUGAAUCUCUUUCGUGAUGGGGAUUGGGGCUUGUAAUUAUUCCCCAUGAACGAGGAAUUCCCAGUAAGCGUCAGUCAUCAGCUGGCGUUGAUUACGUCCCUGCCCUUUGUACACACCGCCCGUCGCUACUACCGAUUGAAUGGUUUAGUGAGACCCUCGGACUGGAANCCGUUUGCUGCUUUCGGGUGGCGGACGGGGACGGAAAGACGGUCGAACUUGAUCAUUUAGAGGAAGUAAAAGUCGUAACAAGUUUCCGUAG
Molecule: ribosomal RNA, 698 nt
Filed under: Haliotis discus discus (disc abalone)
Lineage: Eukaryota; Metazoa; Mollusca; Gastropoda; Lepetellida; Haliotidae
Description: SSU rRNA
Rfam family: Eukaryotic small subunit ribosomal RNA
Source: RNAcentral